AAUCCUGGCUCAGGACGAACGCUGGCGGCGCGCCUAACACAUGCAAGUCGAACGAGCGAGAGAGAGCUUGCUUUCUCAAGCGAGUGGCGAACGGGUGAGUAACGCGUGAGGAACCUGCCUCAAAGAGGGGGACAACAGUUGGAAAAACGACUGCUAAUACCGCAUAAGCCCACGACCCGGCAUCGGGUAGAGGGAAAAGGAGCAAUCCGCUUUGAGAUGGCCUCGCGUCCGAUUAGCUAGUUGGUGAGG
RNAcentral lists this ribosomal RNA (249 nucleotides) under uncultured bacterium. Its description in RNAcentral is "partial 16S ribosomal RNA". It matches the Rfam family "Bacterial small subunit ribosomal RNA", at positions 15 to 257 of the family's 1533-position model. The record is from RNAcentral.